GGCUUCGUGGCCGAGCGGUAAGGACACUUGCCUCUCAUCCUGGAGUCUCGGGUUCGAUCCCCGAUAAAGGAGUUU
This 75-nucleotide transfer RNA is filed under the name Rhamnusium bicolor. Its description in RNAcentral is "tRNA-OTHER". The record is from RNAcentral. Lineage: Eukaryota; Metazoa; Arthropoda; Insecta; Coleoptera; Cerambycidae.